This is a long non-coding RNA of Sceloporus undulatus (fence lizard), 371 nucleotides long. RefSeq lists it as uncharacterized. The transcript has 3 exons. NCBI's taxonomy places the organism in Eukaryota, Metazoa, Chordata, Lepidosauria, Squamata, Phrynosomatidae. The record is from RefSeq and is a predicted model, not a curated record.
UGGCCAGAGGGAUGGGACCAGGCUCCAAGCCACACCUUGUUGGGAAACUUCACCCGAGAGUCAGAGAGAGAGAGAGAGAGGAAGGAAGGAAGGAAAUAGAGAAAAUGGAUUCAGUCAAGGAAGCCGGAGCCCUGAGCUUGCAAGACUGGAGCAGGCCUGAAUAGAAUUGAAACUGUAAAGAAGUAGAAGGAGUGCAGUUAAAAGAAGUGCUUAAUGGGCAAUCAGCUGGCAUGGAUUCCUAGACCUUAAUACUGGCGUGACACGAGGAAACCAGUGCAAAACAAGAAUGUGACAGCUAAAAGAGCUGCCAGCCAAAGGAACUGAGGAAGGCAAGUGAAGUAAAGGUAGUGCCAAGCUAAAGAUGACCUUCA